UACGUAGGGGGCAAGCGUUGUCCGGAUUUAUUGGGCGUAAAGAGCGUGUAGGCGGUUUGGUAGGUCCGUUGUGAAAACUCGAGGCUCAACCUCGAGACGCCGGCGGAAACCAUCAGGCUAGAGUCCGGAAGAGGAGAGUGGAAUUCCUGGUGUAGCGGUGAAAUGCGCAGAUAUCUGGAGGAACACCGGUGGCGAAGGCGGCAUCCUGGACCAACACUGACGCUGAUGAGCGAAAGCCAGGGGAGCAAACGGG
Molecule: ribosomal RNA, 253 nt
Filed under: uncultured bacterium
Lineage: Bacteria
Description: partial 16S ribosomal RNA
Rfam family: Bacterial small subunit ribosomal RNA
Source: RNAcentral